This 494-nucleotide ribosomal RNA is filed under the name uncultured bacterium. RNAcentral describes it as "partial 16S ribosomal RNA". It matches the Rfam family "Bacterial small subunit ribosomal RNA", at positions 28 to 523 of the family's 1533-position model. The record is from RNAcentral.
GAUGAACGCUGGCGGCGUGCCUAACACAUGCAAGUCGAACGGAGUUAUUAUUAUGAAGUUUUCGGAUGGAUUAAUAAUAACUUAGUGGCGGACGGGUGAGUAACGCGUGGGUAACCUGCCUCAUACAGGGGGAUAACAGUUGGAAACGGCUGCUAAAACCGCAUAACAUUGCGAUGUCGCAUGACAAUGCAAUUAAAUAUUUAUAGGUAUGAGAUGGGCCCGCGUCUGAUUAGCUAGCUGGUGGGGUAAUGGCCUACCAAGGCGACGAUCAGUAGCCGGAUUGAGAGAGUGACCGGCCACAUUGGGACUGAGACACGGCCCAAACUCCUACGGGAGGCAGCAGUGGGGAAUAUUGCACAAUGGGGGAAGCCCUGAUGCAGCGACGCCGCGUGAGUGAAGAAGUAUUUCGGUAUGUAAAGCUCUAUCAGCUGGGAAGAAAAUGACGGUACCUGACUAAGAAGCCCCGGCUAACUACGUGCCAGCAGCCGCAGUAA